CCCUUAGAUGUUCUGGGCUGCACGCGCGCUACACUGAUGCGCUCAACGAGUUUUAACCUUGCCUGGAAAGGUUGGGUAAUCUUUUUAAAACGCAUCGUGAUGGGGAUAGAUUAUUGCAAUUAUUAAUCUUCAACGAGGAAUGCCUAGUAAACGCAAGUCAUCAGCUUGCAUUGAUUACGUCCCUGCCCUUUGUACACACCGCCCGUCGCUCCUACCGAUUGAAUGAUCCGAUGAAUAUCAUGGAUUGAGGAUGCAAGCAGGUUCGCCUGUCUUCAUCUUCGAGAAGUGAAGUAAAUCUUAUCAUUUAGAGGAAGGAGAAGUCGUAACA
This 328-nucleotide ribosomal RNA is filed under the name uncultured eukaryote. RNAcentral describes it as "partial 18S ribosomal RNA". It matches the Rfam family "Eukaryotic small subunit ribosomal RNA", at positions 1470 to 1796 of the family's 1831-position model. The record is from RNAcentral.